This 71-nucleotide transfer RNA is filed under the name Loxodonta africana (African savanna elephant). It matches the Rfam family "tRNA". From Rfam's summary of the family: Transfer RNA (tRNA) molecules are approximately 80 nucleotides in length. Their secondary structure includes four short double-helical elements and three loops (D, anti-codon, and T loops). The record is from Rfam by way of RNAcentral. Lineage: Eukaryota; Metazoa; Chordata; Mammalia; Proboscidea; Elephantidae.
GCAGUGGUGGUUCAGUGGUAGAAUUCCCACAUUCCAUACUGGAGACCUGGGUUCGAUUCCUGGCCAAUGUA